AGAAUCAACGCUGGCGGCGUGCCUAACACAUGCAAGUCGAACGAGAAAGUGGUAGCAAUACCAUGAGUAAAGUGGCGCACGGGUGAGUAACACGUGACUAACCUACCCUUGAGUGGGGGAUAACUGAGGGAAACCUUAGCUAAUACCGCAUAAUACCCACGGGUCAAAGGAGCAAUUCGCUCGAGGAGGGGGUCGCGGCCGAUUAGUUAGUUGGCGGGGUAAUGGCCCACCAAGACGAUGAUCGGUAUCCGGCCUGAGAGGGCGCACGGACACACUGGAACUGAAACACGGUCCAGACUCCUACGGGAGGCAGCAGUGGGGAAUUUUGCGCAAUGGGGGAAACCCUGACGCAGCAACGCCGCGUGGAGGAUGAAGUCCUUCGGGACGUAAACUCCUUUCGAUCGGGACGAUUAUGACGGUACCGGAAGAAGAAGCCCGGCUAACGUUCGCGCCAGCAGCCGC
Molecule: ribosomal RNA, 462 nt
Filed under: uncultured bacterium
Lineage: Bacteria
Description: SSU rRNA
Rfam family: Bacterial small subunit ribosomal RNA
Source: RNAcentral